This 713-nucleotide long non-coding RNA is filed under the name Sinocyclocheilus grahami. RNAcentral describes it as "lncRNA (ENSSGRG00000050372.1)". Lineage: Eukaryota; Metazoa; Chordata; Actinopteri; Cypriniformes; Cyprinidae. The record is from RNAcentral.
AUCAAUCUCAACCAUUUUCAGGAUGAGGAAGAUGGUGAUACAUAUGAAGCUCCACCAUGUGAACGUCCCACCAUUAAAGUCCAACCGUGCCAAGUAGAGGAGAAUGUUUACCUGGGUUAUCCGGAUCGAAACCCGAACCCUGUUACUCCCAAAAGGCAGGCAGCACCGCCGCCACGACCGGCCAAGAUCACCCCGAUAGGGAAAAGCAUGAAGCCAGAGCCACCUCACGACCCGGAGCGGUUUUACAUCGACCCCAAUGAUAGCAAACCUCCUGAGGUAAUACGUAAAGAUAAACCUGGUAAAAAAGCCCCUCCUAAGAGACCCCCGAUGAGACCUCCACCGGCCCCUCAGCAAGACGAAGAUGUUUACUUGGACCCAAAUGAAGGGCAGGAUGAUGAUGACACCUAUCUAGAACCUGUAGCAGAACCGCCUGCACCCCGAAGCCCGGCCCGCAUGCCAUUGCCUCCUAAAACUGUAGGACGAGACCCGCCACCACCAAUACUGAAGCCUCCUGUUCCCAGAGCCAAAUCUAGUUCGGUCCUGAUCGGUGACACUGUGAACAAAGUUCUGCCGCCAGAAGUAAAACGUGCCACGUUUUCUGGCCAGCUGCCACCCGCACUAAACAGCAAACCAGUUCCUCCCAUCAUCCUCCCCAAAGAACCCAAAGCCAGGUGAGUCUGUGAAGCCUUUACCUCUUUACAUGUUCAGAAACA